AACGAACGCUGGCGGCAUGCCUAACACAUGCAAGUCGAACGAGACCUUCGGGUCUAGUGGCGCACGGGUGCGUAACGCCUGGGAACCUGCCCUUAGGUUCGGAAUAACUCCCCGAAAGAUGUGCUAAUACCGGUUAAUCUCUUCGGACCAAAGAUUUCUGGCCUUUGGAUGGGCCCGCGUUGGAUUAGCCAGUUGGUAGGGUAAAAGCCUACCAAGGCGACGAUCCAUAGCUGGUCUGAGAGGAUGAUCAGCCACACUGGGACUGAGACACGGCCCAGACCGCUACGGGAGGCAGCAGUGGGGAAUAUUGGACGAUGGGCGAAAGCCUGAUCCAGCAAUGCCGCGGGAGUGAGGAAGGCCUUAGGGUUGUAAAGCUCUUUUACCCGGGAUGAUAAUGACAGUACCGGGAGAAUAAGCACCGGCUAACUCCGUG
RNAcentral lists this ribosomal RNA (433 nucleotides) under uncultured bacterium. Its description in RNAcentral is "partial 16S ribosomal RNA". It matches the Rfam family "Bacterial small subunit ribosomal RNA", at positions 29 to 507 of the family's 1533-position model. The record is from RNAcentral.